Molecule: long non-coding RNA, 482 nt
Organism: Tupaia belangeri chinensis (Chinese tree shrew)
Lineage: Eukaryota; Metazoa; Chordata; Mammalia; Scandentia; Tupaiidae
Exons: 3
Source: RefSeq, a predicted model, not a curated record
GCGUCUUCCUCAAUGCCUGAUGGCCUGGCCUCCUCGAUCUCAGGUGGACAUGGCCGCUGGCCUUGAAGACUUGUUUGGCUUGGAGAAUUUGGCGGCCGCCUCGGCGUUUGAGGCUUCUAAGUAGCUUGCCUAGGUUACUAAGCUCUUAGACGUGGUUGCCCUAAGGGGCCAUAGACUUUUGGCAUGUCAGCAUUCUGGAUCCUGCUUGCACUUAAAGACCUGAAUUCAGGUGCUCUCAAGUGACCACCGAUAAUAAAUGUUUCUUUCCGGAAGACAAUCACGUCGACAAUGCAUUGGGGUAACUAGGUAAUCUAUAUAUACUGUCGAGGACUUUGCAGGCGAACAGUUCCUACUUUCCAGCUCUCACUAUGGUCCCUGGUCCUUUCACAAAUUGGUAAAUGAAAACCAGGUCUAUGGGAUCAGAAGGUCAAAAUUUUAAAAAUAAAUAAUAAUAGGGGCCAGCAGACGGUGUACCAGUUACG